GACGAACGCUGGCGGCGUGCUUAACACAUGCAAGUCGAACGGAAAGGCCCUGCUGUUGUGGGGUGCUCGAGUGGCGAACGGGUGAGUAACACGUGAGUAACCUGCCCUUGACUUUGGGAUAACUUCAGGAAACUUGGGCUAAUACCGGAUAGGAGCUCCUGCUGCAUGGUGGGGGUUGGAAAGUUUCGGCGGUUGGGGAUGGACUCGCGGCUUAUCAGCUUGUUGGUGGGGUAGUGGCUUACCAAGGCUUUGACGGGUAGCCGGCCUGAGAGGGUGACCGGCCACAUUGGGACUGAGAUACGGCCCAGACUCCUACGGGAGGCAGCAGUGGGGAAUAUUGCACAAUGGGCGGAAGCCUGAUGCAGCAACGCCGCGUGCGGGAUGACGGCCUUCGGGUUGUAAACCGCUUUCGCCUGUGACGAAGCGUGAGUGACGGUAAUGGGUAAAGAAGCACCGGCUAACUACGUG
Molecule: ribosomal RNA, 468 nt
Filed under: uncultured bacterium
Lineage: Bacteria
Description: partial 16S ribosomal RNA
Rfam family: Bacterial small subunit ribosomal RNA
Source: RNAcentral